GCAUUAGCUUACAAAGUACUGAAAGCUUAUCAUGUGUUCAAGUCGAUAUUUCUUCCUACUUCGAUAUUUUUUUUUACAAUCUGAUUAGAAUUUGAUUUUCUUGUAUACACUUUGCUGUUGCUUAUUUUUGUUUCCCCAACCUUCUUCACUAGUGUAUCUCAGGAUGUAAAAUAUUGGCUUUACCUUCACUAGUGUCUCUCAGGCUAUAAGUAAGCUUUACCAAUUUUUGUGCCUGUUUAAGACUUUAAAUUCUAUGAUCUAUAUUUACUAUAUCUGCAUUGCUUUUGUAAAUGCUCUGCCAGUAGAGAUGGAACUAGAAAUUCACCAU
Molecule: unclassified non-coding RNA, 328 nt
Filed under: Hevea brasiliensis (rubber tree)
Lineage: Eukaryota; Viridiplantae; Streptophyta; Magnoliopsida; Malpighiales; Euphorbiaceae
Source: RNAcentral